This 468-nucleotide ribosomal RNA is filed under the name uncultured bacterium. RNAcentral's name for it is "partial 16S ribosomal RNA". It matches the Rfam family "Bacterial small subunit ribosomal RNA", at positions 28 to 507 of the family's 1533-position model. The record is from RNAcentral.
GACGAACGCUGGCGGCGUGCUUAACACAUGCAAGUCGAACGGAAAGGCCCUGCUUUUGUGGGGUGCUCGAGUGGCGAACGGGUGAGUAACACGUGAGUAACCUGCCCUUGACUUUGGGAUAACUUCAGGAAACUGGGGCUAAUACCGGAUAGGAGCUCCUGCUGCAUGGUGGGGGUUGGAAAGUUUCGGCGGUUGGGGAUGGACCCGCGGCUUAUCAGCUUGUUGGUGGGGUAGUGGCUUACCAAGGCUUUGACGGGUAGCCGGCCUGAGAGGGUGACCGGCCACAUUGGGACUGAGGUACGGCCCAGACUCCUACGGGAGGCAGCAGUGGGAAGUAUUGCACAAUGGGCGGAAGCCUGAUGCAGCAACGCCGCGUGCGGGAUGACGGCCUUCGGGUUAUAAACCGCUUUCGCCUGUGACGAAGCGUGAGUGACGGUAAUGGGUAAAGAAGCACCGGCUAACUACGUG